UCUUGAACUCUGUCCCAUUGUCCCAUCCUCAAGCAAGCAUUUAAUUCAUGAAUCUUAGUAUAUAAAAUAGCAUUCUCUUUUCUAAGAUUGGAAAUAGAAACAUUGCAAACAUCCAAGUCUUUAGCCUUUGAAAUUAAACUAGCAUUUUCAAGUUUAAGGCUAGAAAUUGAUUCAUUCAAUUUAUCAAUCUUAGCAAUCAAACUAUCAAUUUCAUUUCUAAGAUUGGCAAUUGAAUCAUGGCAAUCAUUUGAUUUUUCAACCUUAGCAAUUAAAUUACAAUUCUCAGUUCUAAGGUUGAAGAUAGUGUCAUGGAAAAUGCUAAGCUCUUUAGUCAAGUUUUCACAUUUCUCUAUCUCCUAAGCAUAAGCAUUUUUCACCUUAACAUGUUUUUUAGUUUCCUUAAUAAGGAAUUCCUCUUGGCUAUCCAAGAGUUCAUCCUUCUCAUGAAUAGCACCUAUUAAUUCAUUUAAUUUUUCUUUUUGUUGCAUGUUAAGGUUGGCAAAAAGACUAAGCAAGUUAUCUUCAUCAUCACUAGAACUACCAUCAUCACUAGAUGUAGUAUACUAGGGGGUGGUUCUAGCUUGUACCUUCUUUUUCUUGUCGUCCUUUGCCAUGAGGCACUUGUGGUCGACAUUGGGGAAGAGAAGUCCCUUGUUGCCGGCGAUGUUGGCGGCGUCCUCGUCGGAGGAGGAGUCGGUGGAGCUCAUGUCCGAGUCCCAUUCCUAACAUAUGUGGGCAUCGCCGCCCUUCUUCUUGUAGUACUUCUUCUUUUCCUUUCUCUUUCCCCUCUUGUCGUCACCCCUGUCACUAUCACUUGACAUAGGACAUUUAGCAAUGAAAUGACUGGGCUUACCACACUUGUAGCACACCGUUUUGGAGCGGGGUUUGUAGUCCUUCCCCCUCCUUUGCUUGAGGAUUUGGUGGAAGCUCUUGAUAAUGAGUGUCAUCUCCUCGUUGUCGAGCUUAGAGGCAUCGAUGGGGAGCCUACUUGAUGUAGACUAUUCUUUCUUCUCCUCCAUCGCUUUGAAUGCGACGGGUUGCACCUCGGGUGUGGAAGUGUCACCUUGCUCCAAGUUGAUGAUUUGUUUGGAGCCUUUGAUCAUCAAUUCAAAGCUCACAAACUUUCCUAUCACUUCCUCCGGAGACAUUAAUUUGUAUCUAGGAUCCCCAUGAAUUAAUUGUACUUGAGUAGGAUUGCGAAAAACAAGGGAUCUUAGAAUAACCUUGACCAUCUCAUGGUCAUCCCAUUUUGUGCUCCCGAGGUUGCGCACUUGGUUGACCAAGGUCUUGAGCCGGUUGUACAUUGCUUGUGGCUCCUCUCCUUGGUUGAGGAUGAAUCGACCAAGUUCCCCCUCGAUCGUCUCCCGCUUGGUGAUCUUGGUCACCUCAUCCCCUUCGUGCGCGGUCUUUAGUACAUCCCAAAUCUCUUUGGCACUUUUUAGCCCUUGCACCUUAUUAUAGUCCUCUCGACAUAGAGAGGCGAGGAGUAUAGUGGUGGCUUGGGAGUCAAAAUGCCGGAUUUGGGCGACCUUGUCCGAAUCAUAUCCUUCAUCCCCUACGGAUGGUACCUGCGUUCCAAACUCAACAAUAUCCCAUAUGCUUGCGUGGAGUGAGGUUAGAUGAUGCCUCAUUUUAUCACUCCACAUACAAUAAUCUUCACCAUAAAAAACCAGUGGUUUGCCUAAUGGGACGGAAAGUAAAGGAGUGUGUUUAGAAAUGCGAGGAUAGCGUAGGGGGAUCUUACUAAACUUCUUGCGCUCAUGGCGCUUAGAAGUAACAGACGGCGCGUCGGAGCCGGAGGUGGAUGGCGACGAAGAAUCGGUCUCGUAGUAGACCACUUUCUCCAUUUUCUUCCUCUUGUCGCCACUCCAAUGCGACUUGACGCGGGGAGGUGAUUUCUCCCUUCCUUUGGCACCGGACUCCCUUGAUGGAGCCUUCCCGUGGCUUGUGGCUGUUUCCAUCUCCCUCUUGGCGUGAUCUCCCGACAUUACUUCGAGUUUUUAAACUCUAAUGAAGUAUCGGGCUCUGAUACCAAUUGAAAGUCGCCUAGAGGGGGGUGGAUAGGCGGAAACUGAAAUUUACAAACUUAAAGCACACUACAAGCCGAGGUUAGCGUUAGAAUAAAAAUCGAGUCCGAGAGAGAGGGGGAAAACAAAUCAACCAAGAAAUAAAGCAGAUGACACGGUGAUUUGUUUUACCGAGGUUCGGUUCCAAAGAACCUAGUCCCCAUUGAGGUGGUCACAAAGACCGGGUCUCUUUCAACCCUUUCCCUCUCUCAAACGGUCACUUAGACCGAGUGAGUUUCUUCCUUGAUUUCUCGGGUCACUUAGACCCCGCAAGGACCACCACACAAUUUGUGUCUCUUGCUUCGCUUACAAGGCUUUGAGAGUAAGAAUGAGAGAAAGAAGAAAGCCAACCAAGCAACAAGAGCAACAAAGAACAUAAGACGAUCUUCUCACAAGUCCUAAAAUACUAGAGUUGAAUUGUGGACUUUGAUUGGAUCGAAGGCUUUGAUUUGUGUCUUGGAGUGUUGUAUUUUGCUCUUGUAUUUAAUGAGGAGUAGUGAAUGCUUGGAUGGUUGGAGUGGAGAUGGUUGGGGGGUAUUUAUAGCCCUCAACCACCAAUUCAACCGUUGGGGCAGGCUGUUGUCGACGGGCGCACCGGACAGUCCGGUGCGCCAGCCACGUCACCCAACCGUUAGGGUUCUGACGGUUUCGACCGUUGGAGCUUUGUCUUCAUGUGGCACCGGACAGUCCGGUGCCGCACCGGACAGCUACUGUUCACUGUCCGGUGCGCCUCUGGCGACUGCUCUGACUUCUGCGCGCACUGUUCUUCACUGUUCACGUUGCAGGCGACCGUUGGAGUCAACCGUUGCGCUGGCUAGCCGUUGCUCCGCUGGCACACCGGACAGUCUGGUGAAUUAUAGCGAAGCGCGGCCUCAGAAACCCGAAGGUGAAGAGUUGGAGUCGAUCGCCCCUGGUGCACCGGACACUAUCCGAUGGUGCACCGGACAUUGUCCGGUGCGCCAGACCAGGGUUCUCUUCGGUUUCUUUUGCUCCUUUCUUUUGAAAUCCUAACUUGAUCUUUUUAUUGGUUUGUUUUGAACCUUUAGCACCUAUAGAAUAUAUGAUCUAGAGCAAACUAGUUAGUCCAAUUAUUUGUGUUGGGCAUUCAACCACCAAAAUCAUUUAUAGGAAAAGGUUAAACCCUAUUUCCCUUUCAAUAACUCAUCCAUAUACGUGGACACGGACUAUUCUAAUAAAUUUUGAACUCUGCACAGAGGUGUGCUCUCUAUCCACUAGUCCGGUUUCUGCAAUUUCAACGUCAUGAGUUUCGAAUACCGAAACUCUCUCCUCCCUUGCACGGCUUUGCCUUAACGGUUAUACCAAAAGGAACAAGGUAACCUCCUCACCCAAACCAGGAUGUAAUUAUUCCCCCACCUUGUCCUUUCGGUGCUCCCUAGCCACCGAUAAGCCAGGGGUGCAGACUGUGCAAGUUCAGAUUAAGCGACUGUCCAUACAGUCCCGAGUGGUUGUACUUGAUAAGAGUUUAGGUAAGGAGUGAUGACAAGCCGGUCCUUAUGCGAGACGGGACAAUCAUUCAUGCUCACACCUAACCCGGCUGAGCCAACUUCUUAGGGCCCUCCCAAACCAGGGAGUCCUGAUCAUCCCGCUCAUGGUGGUGACAGAGAUAAAUGUUCACCCUUUUUUUGAAAACAAGUUUCUUUUAAAAAAACUCACACCUUUUAUCAAAUCAUUUUGUAAUAAAAAUGUCAAGGAGUAUAAAAAAUUUUUGCGACAAAGUUCUAAGGUUGGGUGGCCAUAUUAACAUGUCUCUUAGUAGCAAAAUAAUGUAAUGCAUAAAAUAACAGGCUGAGUGAUGUGUUUGAAAGCAUAGAUAAUUUAUACAUCAAAGAGAUCUAGUGGGUUUGUCGUGCCUUAACUAGCGAAAGGGUGAGAGCUUGUUGUACUAGCUUCUGGCUUCACCGACUGGCAUGGACUUGCGGAACUGGCAUUCAUGGGACAUCACGAACGCUCCGAUAACUAUGCAGCAAGAAUAAGCAAACAUACAAACCAGCAAGUAUAUCAACUAAAAUUCUUUAUAGUGGUCAGGAAUGGUGGUGGAUGGGUGAAUAUAGAUUUGAGUAGAGUUUGUAUUGAUGGAGUAGAGAUGCUUACCCGACAUGCAUUUAGAUCGGCAUCCUCUUCAAUGAAAUCAAUUAAAUAAAGCUUAUCGUCUAAUACACCUUUAAAAGCUAAUGUACCAUCACUUAUUCUAAAGACAGAUACAUCAAUAUUUGUAAAGAAACAAUUACAGCUCAUAUGACAUAAUUGACUUAUAGAAAGCAAAAUGUAACCAAGCGAUUCUACUAAGAAAACAUUAGAUAUUGAAUGCUCAGUAAUGAUGGCUAUUUUACCCAAACCUUUGAGCUUGCCAUGAUUCCCGUCUCCAAAGACAAUCGUAUCUUGGGAAUCCUUGUUUUUGACGUAGGAGGUGAACAUCUUCUUCUCCCCCAUCAUAUGGUUUGUGCAUCCACUGUCAAUAAUCCAACUUGUGCCUCCGGAUGCAUAAACCUGCAAGGUGAUUUAAGCCUGGGAUUUAGGUACCCAACUCUUGUUGGGUCCUACAAGGUUAGUCACAUAAGACUUUGGAACCAAAAUACAAGUUUUGCCUCUCUUGCACUUAGGCCCCACAUUUCUAGCAAUAACUUUUUCAUUUUUACACAUAAGCACAAAUGAAGCAUCAUAAGUAUGAUAAAACAUAGUUGGACCAUUAGAUGCAUUCCUAGGCGCAUGGGAAACAACAUGAUGAGUAUGGCGCCUAGGUCUACUCCUACCAUGAACAUACAAAGAGGUAGAGGAUGCAAACAUGGCAUGUGAAUCAAAGGCAGCAUCAUGACGUACAGGUAAAACAACAUGAUUAUAACAACCAUCAUGAUGAGCAGCAUUAGUGGCAUUCUUAACAUGAGCAUACAAAUAGGCAUGGUUCUUUUUGUCAUGAAAAGAAUGAGAACUACUAGCCAUAGGUGCCUUCCCUUUCUCCUUGAUGAGAUUGGAGGCCCUUUGGCUUAAGUUCUUGGUCCCCUUUUGGAAACCAAGUCCAUCCUUAAUGGAGGGAUGUCUACCAAUGGUGUAGGCAUCCCUUGCAAAUUUUAUUUCAUCACACUCAUUCUUGCAAGUUUUAAGUUGGGCAUUAAGGUUUGCAAUUUCAUCAUUCAACUUAGAGAUAGUGGAAGCAUGAGUAUUGCAAGCAUCAAUAUCAAUUUCUUUACAUCUAUUGCAAAUAGAAACAUGAUCCAUAGAUGAACUAGCAACAUUUACUUUUUCUAGCUUAGCAUUUAAAUUGUUAAGACUAGAAAUAGAAUCACGACAAGACGAUAACUCAGAAGAAAGUAAUUCAUUUUUCUUAAUUUCAACAGCUAGAGAUUUUUCAGCAUUAAUACACUUAUCAUGUUCUUCAUAUAGAAUAUCGUAUUGUUUCUCUAGCAAUCUAUCCUUCUCAUUAAGGGCAUCAAUUACUUCAUUGAUUUUAUCUACUUUAGAUCUAUCUAAACCUUUAAAGAUAUCGCUAUAGUCUACAUCAUCAUCAUAUUCCUCAUCACUAGAAGAAGUGUACUUAGGGGUAUCUCGAGUACGUACCUUCUUCUCCUUAGCCAUGAGGCAUGUGUGAUGCUCGUUGGGGAAGAGGAAGGACUUGUCGAAGGCUGAGGCAGCAAGUCCCUUAUCGUCGGAGUCGGAUGAAGAGCAAUCUGAGUCCCACUCUUUGCCAAUGUGCGCCUCGCUCUUCGUCUUCCUGUAGUUCAUUGAUAAGUACGGGAUUAUCACUACUAUCAAAUGCAUUCCAUUUUCCACUAUCUCCCAAAUACUAGGAUGGGGAGAAAAUAAACAUUUUAUGACUCUAGAAAGAAUAAUCUUCUCCAUCAAAGUGGGGGGGUUUCCAAGUGGAAUAGACAAUAAAUGUGCAUUCGAAUUAUAAGGGAUGUGUGAAUAAUCAAAAGAAUAGUUUUGAUUAAUCGUUUUUUUUCGAUGAAGAGUCUUCGUCGUCGUCAUCCAUUGGUGAAGAAGAAGAGGUGUUGUUGUCGUAGUAGAUGUUCUUCUUGAUGCGCCUCUUCUUUCUAUCCUUCCUUUUGUUGGUUGAGUCUGAGUCGGUGGGCUUGUCACCUUUUGGCUCAUCAAAAUAGAGAGUCUCCUUCUCCUUCUCCUUGUCGUUGAUCACCAUCCCCUUGCCCUUAGGAUCCAUCUCUUCGGGUGGUUAGUCCCUUGAUGAAGAGAACAACUCUAAUAUCAAUUGAGAGCACCUAGAGGGGGUGAAUAUGUGAUCCUGUAAAAAACAGCUCAACAAAACAAACUUGGACUAAUAUUGAAUUAGUGGAAGCAAGAGCCAAGUUCGAAUGAGGAUUAUGAGCGGAGUAAACUUCUUCACUUAAUUGCUCUUCACUAUGUGAGCAUUAAACUUAGAGCAAUAAUGUAAGUGAAGUGGAUAGAGAGAAAAUCGCAGUAGGAUAAGGAUACGUGACACAACGAUUUUUAUCUCGUGGUUCGGUCAAGUAGAAUACUUGCCUACUCCACGUUGUGGCGUCCCAACGGACGAGGGUUGCACUCAACCCCUUUCAAGUGAUCCAAAGGUCAACUUGAAUGCCACGGUUCUGUUUAUCUCAACAAUACCCCAUUGUGAGUUAUCUCCACAAUUUGGAGUCUCUCACGCCUAACACAAAUGAUCUCAAAUAAACACAAGAGUAAGGGGGAAUAGAAACACACACAAGAGCGAGAGUUGCAGCAGCAACACACACACAAGACAAGAAAGAGCACACGAAACAACACAGCGGAGUUACAGCUCAAAGAAGUGCUCAAAUCUAUAUCACAAUGAAACGAAUGCGUGUUUGCGGAUUCUCGGCAUUGUAAGAUGUUUAAUGGGUGCUUGGUGUAAUGCUCCAUAUGCCUAGGGGUCCCUUUUAUAGCCCCAAGGCAGCUAGGAGCCGUUGGCGUCCCAUUUGUAAGGCCCUGGUUGCCUUCUAUCCGUGGACGCAGUCUGGUGCACCACCGGACAAUGAACAGUGUGUGAUUUCCUUCCUUAUUUGGCAAGACGACCAUUGUCAGCCACUGGUCCCACGGCGCAUCGGACAGGCUGGUGUCACACCAGACAGUCCAGUGUUGCAUGUUGACCGUUGGCUGAGCCACGUGUCGCCCGCUGAUCGCGCGGUCGAUCGUUAGCAGGGCGCGUGGCUGGCACAUCGGAUAGUCCGGUGCACAAUCAUGUCUUGUUUCAUCUCGUUUUCAUGUGCUUUUCCUAAAUAUAGGAUCUCCGACAGGGGGAGUAUAUCUUCUUUCAUACAAAAGGGGAGAAUAUUCUUUCAAAGGGGGUGAGCUCUCUUUUAGGGGGAGUAAUCAUUUUAGAGGGCAAGUCUUUGAUUGCUUCCUAUAUGAUUUUAAUGUCUUCCUUUUGGUGUUUGAUUCCAAAGGGGGCGAAGUUUUAGGGACCAAAGCAAAUUCAAAAUAUAUCAAAUAUCAAACACCACCCAAUUUAAAAUUUAAAAACUUGAGCUUACAAGCAGUUUUGGUUCUACAAGUGUUUUUGGUCUAAAAUAGGAAGUAUGUGGAUUAUGGUGUUAGGGGAGGCUUAAGCCCAUAAUGUCACGUUGUGGGGACAUUCAUGCAUCCUAGCAAGUAGAUUGCAUAUUUUUAUCAAAAUAUUUUUUAUAUUUGCUUGCUUUGGUUGUGUUGUCAUCAAUCACAAAAAGGGGGUUGUAAGGAAAAUGGACCUCGACCCAUUUAACUAAAUGAUUUUGGUGGUUGAUGAUCAACAUAAUCUGUUGACUAAUGUGUCUGCUAGUUUUUAUAUUUGUAGUUCAUAGGAUGUUAAAGUGACUUGGACUAAGGCACUGAGGAAGCAACACCUCAAAAGAAGAUAUUAUGAAACCAUAUGUGAAGAUCAAAAAGUAUCAAGCAAAGUCCAAGACAUGAAGAGAGUGUAGCCACUCGCGAACCAUCUGUCCAAGUGCAGCGGAUUGUCCGAUGGCUCACCGGAUAGUCCGGUCCACCCGGUGGACUAUCCGGUGCACCAAGAAAUAGUAGUCCAACACCUAGUUCCUGGUGGCACAGUGGAGGAAAGCCACUGAAUUGUACGGUGCACCACCGGACUGUCCGGUGUGUUGCAGAGAGCAGUAGCUUUUCUGCAAUGGCUAUAUUCGAGUUGGGACCUAUAUAUAUUUCACCCAACCGGCCAUUUGAAGGGGUGGCAGUCCAAGCAACUGCUUGGGAGUCCUUGCAAUUUGAAUAAACCAAGAUCUUACCAUGACUGCAAUUUUAGAGAGACGCGAAAGUACAAGCCUGUGGGGUCGCUUCUGCAACUGGAUAACUAGCACCGAAAACUGUAUUUACAUUGGAUGGUUCGGUGUUUUGAUGAUCCCUACCUUAUUGACCGCAACUUCCGUAUUUAUUAUCGCCUUCCAACACAUGUUAUAGACAUUUCCAAGUGCUCA
This 8479-nucleotide long non-coding RNA is filed under the name Zea mays. RNAcentral's name for it is "long non-coding RNA (ZMAY_LNC005028)". Lineage: Eukaryota; Viridiplantae; Streptophyta; Magnoliopsida; Poales; Poaceae. The record is from RNAcentral.